Molecule: ribosomal RNA, 223 nt
Filed under: uncultured bacterium
Lineage: Bacteria
Description: partial 16S ribosomal RNA
Rfam family: Bacterial small subunit ribosomal RNA
Source: RNAcentral
CGUAGGUAACCUGCCUCUUAGCGGGGGAUAACUAUUGGAAACGAUAGCUAAUACCGCGUAAAAGUCGACAUUGCAUGAUGUUGACUUGAAAGGUGCAAAUGCAUCACUAAGAGAUGGACCUGCGUUGUAUUAGCUAGUUGGUGAGGUAACGGCUCACCAAGGCGACGAUACAUAGCCGACCUGAGAGGGUGAUCGGCCACACUGGGACUGAGACACGGCCCAG